This 259-nucleotide long non-coding RNA is filed under the name Cicer arietinum (chickpea). RNAcentral's name for it is "long non-coding RNA (CARI_LNC002116)". The record is from RNAcentral. Lineage: Eukaryota; Viridiplantae; Streptophyta; Magnoliopsida; Fabales; Fabaceae.
AGGAGAUCUGUGUCGCAUGGGUGAGGGUGACCUUCUCCGUCUAAUAGGUGAUGGUGAUCUAUGUAUGUGCAUUGGUGAAGGUGAUCUACGCCGUCUCACAGGAGAAGGUGAUCUGCGUCGUCGCACAGGAGAAGGUGAUCUGCGUCGUCGCACAGGAGAAGGUGAUCUGCGCCGUUGCACAGGAGAGGGUGACCUGUGUCGCCGCACUAGAUAUGGUGAUCUGUGUCGCCGUACAGGAGAGGGUGAUCUGCGCCGUCGC